GGGGGCGUACCGGCUUCGACAAAGAGCAGACCGAAAGGCUGCAAGCCGAGCCGACUGACUCGUAACCCCUUCGGUAAACUCAGGGUUAUCCUGAGCCGUGCCGAAGGAUAAAUCCGGUCAAAACACGAUAGCUGCCAAUACAAAGGUAGUCACCCCGGCUCUGGCAUUCGCCUAAGUCGGGCAUCGGCCCUCAAACGCUCCGCGCGAGGAUCGCCGGUGUCAUACCCGGAGCUCGUCUAGAAACUUUUGCGCUUUCUUCAGACUUCUGGACUAAAUCCAAAGAAAGCAAACCCGCCGUCGUAAGAUGGCUAAGCUUGUAGAAUGUCUUCCGGAACCUCUUUGGACGGGAGUUCAAAUCUCCCCGCCUCCACAG
RNAcentral lists this transfer-messenger RNA (373 nucleotides) under Candidatus Colwellbacteria bacterium CG_4_9_14_0_2_um_filter_50_12. It matches the Rfam family "transfer-messenger RNA". From Rfam's summary of the family: Bacterial tmRNA, also known as 10Sa RNA or SsrA, is named for its dual tRNA and mRNA-like properties. Its role is to liberate the mRNA from a stalled ribosome. Lineage: Bacteria; Candidatus Colwelliibacteriota. The record is from RNAcentral.